CCUAGGGGGGGCAGCAGUGAGGCAUAUUGGUCAAUGGGCGCUAGCCUGAACCAGCCAAGUAGCGUGAAGGAUGACUGCCCUAUGGGUUGUAAACUUCUUUUAUAUGGGAAUAAAGUGCAGUAUGUAUACUGCUUUGCAUGUACCUUAUGAAUAAGGAUCGGCUAACUCCGUGCCAGCAGCCGCGGUAAUACGGAGGAUCCGAGCGUUAUCCGGAUUUAUUGGGUUUAAAGGGAGCGUAGGCGGGUUGUUAAGUCAGUUGUGAAAGUUUGGGGCUCAACCGUAAAAUUGCAGUUGAUAGUGGCAUCCGUGGGUACAGUAGAGGAGGGCGAAAUUCGAGGUGUAGCGGUGAAAUGUUUAGA
This 359-nucleotide ribosomal RNA is filed under the name uncultured bacterium. RNAcentral describes it as "partial 16S ribosomal RNA". It matches the Rfam family "Bacterial small subunit ribosomal RNA", at positions 338 to 694 of the family's 1533-position model. The record is from RNAcentral.